GGAUUGUGGUUCAUUGGUAGAACACUCACCUAGCAUGUGUGAGGCCCUGGGUUCGAUCCUUAGCACCA
This 68-nucleotide transfer RNA is filed under the name Marmota monax (woodchuck). RNAcentral's name for it is "tRNA.Ala". The stretch from base 5 to 65 matches the Rfam family "tRNA", at positions 6 to 65 of the family's 71-position model. Rfam says of the family: Transfer RNA (tRNA) molecules are approximately 80 nucleotides in length. Their secondary structure includes four short double-helical elements and three loops (D, anti-codon, and T loops). The record is from RNAcentral. Lineage: Eukaryota; Metazoa; Chordata; Mammalia; Rodentia; Sciuridae.